GCUUCCAUCGUCUAGUGGUUAGGACAACAGGUUUUCAACCUGUGAACAGGAGUUCAAUUCUCCUUGGAAGUACCA
RNAcentral lists this transfer RNA (75 nucleotides) under Prevotella sp. Its description in RNAcentral is "tRNA-Glu". It matches the Rfam family "tRNA". Rfam says of the family: Transfer RNA (tRNA) molecules are approximately 80 nucleotides in length. Their secondary structure includes four short double-helical elements and three loops (D, anti-codon, and T loops). Lineage: Bacteria; Pseudomonadati; Bacteroidota; Bacteroidia; Bacteroidales; Prevotellaceae. The record is from RNAcentral.